UCUCCCGUGAGGGAGCAGUCUCGCCUGACCAUAUAGGCAACAGGCAACGGGGGUUGCGUUCGUUACCCCACUGAAGGGAACAGUUCAAACCACGAACUGACGACGACCAUGCAUCACCUGUCCAGCACCCUCGAAGGCCUCAUCCCUUUCGGGUUGAGUGCAGCUGGAUUUCUAACCUUGGUAAGGUUCUUCGUUUGCUUACGAAUUGAGCCACAUAAUCCACUGCUUGUGCGAGUCCCCGUCUAUUCCUUUGAGUUUUAAUCUUGCGAUCGUACUACCCAGGCGGCUCGCUUACCGCGUUAGCUUAGUCUCACAGAGGGUCGAUACUCCGUAAAACGAGCGAGCAACGUUGAGGGCCAGGACUA
This 365-nucleotide unclassified non-coding RNA is filed under the name uncultured bacterium. Its description in RNAcentral is "contains 16S-23S intergenic spacer region". The record is from RNAcentral.